This is a non-coding RNA of Leptonychotes weddellii (Weddell seal), 491 nucleotides long. The record is from RefSeq and is a predicted model, not a curated record. Lineage: Eukaryota; Metazoa; Chordata; Mammalia; Carnivora; Phocidae.
CAGUUUUUGGAACCAAAAUAUGGCUAUUUUCACUGUAAAGAUUGUAAGACCAGAUGGGAGAGUGCUUAUGUGUGGUGCAUUUCUGGAACUAAUAAGGUUUAUUUCAAACAACUAUGUUGCAAAUGCCAAAAGAGUUUUAACCCUUAUCGAGUAGAAGCAAUCCAAUGUCAGACCUGUUCAAAGUCUCGUUGUUCCUGUCCUCAAAAGAAAAGACACAUUGAUCUAAGGAGGCCUCAUCGACAGGAACUGUGUGGUCGCUGCAAAGACAAGAGAUUCUCCUGUGGCAAUACUUACAGCUUUAAAUACAUCAUGUGACAGGCAGUAUAAAUUGUACAGGACACUCAAGUCUCCUUGUAACUCACUGUACUGUUCCUUUUUUGCAACUUAGCUCUGAGCUGAUAUUGGAAAAUGGAUUAGGCUUUUGUACUUUUUGUAGGUUGUAUAACAAUUGUACAAUGUGAGUGGAAUAAAAUAAAUGCAUGUAAAAUAGA